GCACACUCUUGAAGUGACCGGCCUGGAGACGGUUGCCCAGAGCAAGGCCCAUGUAGCAUCCCUGGAGGGCCUCAUCCCUGAAGAUAAGGUUGUGCUUCUGGCAGGUUCUCCCUUACAGAAUGAAGCCACCCUGGGUCAGUGUGGGGUGGAAGCCCUGACAACCCUGGAAGUGGUUGGCCGCAGGCUAGGAGGUAAUAACUGCCUCUCACUGCAAGUCAACCCUGUACAACCAGCCAGAUAUUUGUGGACAACACUUCACAGCUCAAAACAAGGUGAACCUAACUCCUCAGCAAACCACAGAUGCUCCUGAAAGUCUCCAAGGCCAGAAGAAAACCCCUAAACAUAUACCACACUGUGGCAACUGUAGCCUAGAAGGUAACGAAUGAAGAACACAGCAAAUAUCUGAGAGUUGCUGCCUGAAGACACAGGACAAUGACCUCAGAAGGAUGGGGAUGGGCUGGAAAACCUCUGGUCUCUACCCUCCUUACAGCUGUGAUUUGCUUCUCCCUAGGAAGGUCCUGCUUCCAUGCUUCUCCCCAUACCCCACUCACUUGAGUGUCUCACACGGGAUGGUAACUAGAUGUAACACUUGCCAAGGGGUCAUUAUCACCUACUAAAUACAAAUAGAUGUCUAGCUUGUCUGUCCACAGAGAGGUGAAUGAUGAGAGAAUUCAAUCUCCUGGAAUCAAAAGAACUUUUUGGUGUGUAUUCUACAAAUUAAAAACUCAAUGACCAGCCGGGCAUGGUGACUCACGCCUGUAAUCCUAGCACUUUGGGAGGCUGAGGCAGGCAGAUUGCCUGAGCUCAAGAGUUCGAAGGCCGGGUGCGGUGGCUCACGCCUGUAAUCCCAGCACUGUGGGAGGCCUAGACGGGUGGAUCACCUGAGAUCAGGAGUUUGAGACCAGCCUGAUCAACACGGAGAAACCCUGUCUCUAGUAAAAAUACAAAAAUUAGCCAGGCGUGGUGAUGCAUGCCUGUAAUCCCAGCUACUCUGGAGGCUGAGGCAGGAGAAUCGCUUGAACCUGGGAGGUGGAGGUUGCUGUGAGCCGAGAUCGUGCCACUGCACUCCAGCCUGGGCAACAAGAGCGAGACUCCAUCUCAAAAAAAAAAAAAAAA
Molecule: RNA transcript, 1116 nt
Organism: Homo sapiens (human)
Lineage: Eukaryota; Metazoa; Chordata; Mammalia; Primates; Hominidae
Gene: FAUP4
Gene name: FAU pseudogene 4
Exons: 3
Source: RefSeq, marked validated